AUACGUAGGGGGCGAGCGUUGUUCGGAAUUACUGGGUGUAAAGGGCGUGUAGGCGGUGAUGUAAGUUAUCGGUAAAAACCCCAGGCUCAACUUGGGGCUUGCCGAUAAAACUGCAACACUUGAGUGCAGGAGAGGGAAGUGGAAUUCCCGGAGUAGCGGUGAAAUGCGUAGAUACCGGGGGGAACACCAGUGGCGAAGGCGGCUUCCUGGCCUGUAACUGACGCUGAGGCGCGAAAGCUGGGGUAGCAAACGGGAUUAGAUACCCCGGUAGUCCCAGCCGUAAACGAUGGUCACUAGGUGUGGGGUGUGGUCAAGCACUCCGUGCCGGAGCAAACGCAAUAAGUGACCCACCUGGGGAGUACGGCCGCAAGGUUGAA
Molecule: ribosomal RNA, 377 nt
Filed under: uncultured bacterium
Lineage: Bacteria
Description: bacterial SSU rRNA
Rfam family: Bacterial small subunit ribosomal RNA
Source: RNAcentral